AAAAUCCUGAGGUGUUCGUAACGGGUUAUAUAAUUUAACCUACAGCUUGUUCACGGGAUCCCGGGUUUCCGCAGCCGAUGUCAGGCCCCCCUUCGGGCCGGGGAAGACAGAAGCAGGAACAGGGAACCCACCUAUCGGAAGAUAGGGUGUGAAUUAGUAACUCGGACGGCACAUUCGGGAUUUUU
This 185-nucleotide non-coding RNA is filed under the name Clostridiales bacterium. RNAcentral describes it as "6S RNA". It matches the Rfam family "6S / SsrS RNA". Rfam says of the family: E. coli 6S RNA was the first non coding RNA to be sequenced, but its function was unknown until recently. It consists of 184 nucleotides that fold into an extended hairpin structure with a large single-stranded internal bulge. Lineage: Bacteria; Bacillati; Bacillota; Clostridia; Eubacteriales. The record is from RNAcentral.